RNAcentral lists this ribosomal RNA (515 nucleotides) under uncultured bacterium. Its description in RNAcentral is "bacterial SSU rRNA". It matches the Rfam family "Bacterial small subunit ribosomal RNA", at positions 29 to 524 of the family's 1533-position model. The record is from RNAcentral.
AAUCAACGCUGGCGGCGUGCCUAACACAUGCAAGUCGAACGCGAAAGGGACUUCGGUCCUGAGUAGAGUGGCGAACGGGUGAGUAACGCGUGGGUGACCUACCCUCGAGUGGGGGAUAACGUUCCGAAAGGGACGCUAAUACCGCAUGACAUUCCGGGUUUGAAGACCUGGAAAUCAAAGCCGGGGACCGCAAGGCCUGGCGCUAGAGGAGGGGCCCGCGUCUGAUUAGCUAGUUGGCGGGGUAAUGGCCCACCAAGGCGACGAUCAGUAGCCGGCCUGAGAGGGCGGACGGCCACACUGGGACUGAGACACGGCCCAGACUCCUACGGGAGGCAGCAGGGGGGAAUUGUUCGCAAUGGGCGAAAGCCUGACGACGCAACGCCGCGUGGAGGAUGAAGGUCUUCGGAUUGUAAACUCCUGUUGAUCGGGACGAAAAGCUUCAACCCAAUACGUUGAAGACUGACGGUACCGGUUGAGGAAGCCACGGCUAACUCUGUGCCAGCCGCCGCCGUAAU